Molecule: long non-coding RNA, 95 nt
Organism: Amblyraja radiata (thorny skate)
Lineage: Eukaryota; Metazoa; Chordata; Chondrichthyes; Rajiformes; Rajidae
Exons: 2
Source: RefSeq, a predicted model, not a curated record
GUUUAGUCGAAGUAGGUCGUAGUAGGUCGGCAUGUUAUUUGUAGGUAGUCGAAGGUAGUCGGAGGUAAUAGCUCCGGGAUGAAAAUACGGUCAGU